UACGUAGGGUCCGAGCGUUGUCCGGAAUUAUUGGGCGUAAAGAGCUCGUAGGCGGCCUGUCGCGUCUGCUGUGAAAGUCCGGGGCUUAACUCCGGGUGUGCAGUGGAUACGGGCAGGCUUGAGGUAGGUAGGGGAGACUGGAAUUCCCGGUGUAGCGGUGAAAUGCGCAGAUAUCAGGAGGAACACCGGUGGCGAAGGCGGGUCUCUGGGCCUUACCUGACGCUGAGGAGCGAAAGCGUGGGGAGCGAACAGGAUUAGAUACCCCGGUAGUCCCUGAG
This 278-nucleotide ribosomal RNA is filed under the name uncultured prokaryote. RNAcentral describes it as "partial 16S ribosomal RNA". It matches the Rfam family "Bacterial small subunit ribosomal RNA", at positions 524 to 801 of the family's 1533-position model. The record is from RNAcentral.